UAAAGUCUUUUCUGAUCUAGAGCGCCAAGUGAGAAGGUAGAAAAGUUUUUAAAAGUAAUUCGUUACCCACCAAGCACCGUUACCCACAUAGCUCAAGUAUAAUCCCAUAUCGGGGAUUUUACCUAUUAUUCGGAAUCAGGACCCGUUAACGUUCGCCUGAGAAGUACUGGUGAGACCGCUCCCCCCGGAAGGCCUUUUAUAAUCGUGGAUCACCCGAAAGUCCAGGGAAAGAAUCCGAGGACAUUGUUGGGACCGCACCGUUGAUUCCGUCCAGACAAUCGACGUCAAAAGGGAACAAUCGGGUAAUUCACCCGUUUUCGCCGCCUGUAGGGCAUUCUGAGCUGCCGUCGAAUCAUCCAUCCGAUCGGUGGCCCGUUCCCCUGAUAAACCAUUCCGGGAUCCCGAAGAGCUCCAGCAUCGGCCGGCCGCAACUACACGCCACACAGACACACACACAACCGUAAGUCAAAAAGAAUAUAUAUCAAAAAGAACAAGAA
Molecule: long non-coding RNA, 497 nt
Organism: Armigeres subalbatus
Lineage: Eukaryota; Metazoa; Arthropoda; Insecta; Diptera; Culicidae
Exons: 2
Source: RefSeq, a predicted model, not a curated record